GAUGAAGAACGUAGCGAAAUGCGAUAAGUAAUGUGAAUUGCAGAAUUCAGUGAAUCAUCGAAUCUUUGAACGCACAUUGCGCCCGCCAGUAUUCUGGCGGGCAUGCCUGUCCGAGCGUCAUUUCAACCCUCGAACCCCUCCGGGGGGUCGGCGUUGGGGACCUCGGGAGCCCCUAAGACGGGAUCCCGGCCCCGAAAUACAGUGGCGGUCUCGUCGCAGCCUCUCCUGCGCAGUAGUUUGCACAACUCGCACCGGGAGCGCGGCGCGUCCACGUCCGUAAAACACCCAACUUCUGAAAUGUUGACCUCGGAUCAGGUAGGAAUACCCGCUGAACUUAAGCAUAUCAAAUAAGCGGAGGA
This 359-nucleotide unclassified non-coding RNA is filed under the name soil metagenome. Its description in RNAcentral is "partial contains 5.8S ribosomal RNA, internal transcribed spacer 2, and large subunit ribosomal RNA". The stretch from base 1 to 120 matches the Rfam family "5.8S ribosomal RNA", at positions 35 to 154 of the family's 154-position model. The record is from RNAcentral.